UACGUAGGCAGCAAGCGUUGUUCGGAAUUACUGGGCGUAAAGGGUGCGUAGGUGGCGCUGUAAGUCGGGUGUGAAAUCUCGGGGCUUAACUCCGAAACUGCAUUCGAUACUGCCGUGCUUGAGGACUGGAGAGGAGACUGGAAUUUACGGUGUAGCGGUGAAAUGCGUAGAUAUCGUAAGGAAGACCAGUGGCGAAGGCGGGUCUCUGGACAGUUCCUGACGCUGAGGCACGAAGGCCAGGGGAGCAAACGGG
This 253-nucleotide ribosomal RNA is filed under the name uncultured bacterium. Its description in RNAcentral is "partial 16S ribosomal RNA". It matches the Rfam family "Bacterial small subunit ribosomal RNA", at positions 524 to 776 of the family's 1533-position model. The record is from RNAcentral.